This 541-nucleotide ribosomal RNA is filed under the name Penicillium chrysogenum. Its description in RNAcentral is "eukaryotic LSU rRNA". The stretch from base 175 to 327 matches the Rfam family "5.8S ribosomal RNA". Lineage: Eukaryota; Fungi; Ascomycota; Eurotiomycetes; Eurotiales; Aspergillaceae. The record is from RNAcentral.
ACGAGCUGAAGGACUCUGGGUCACCUCCCACCCGUGUUUAUUUUACCUUGUUGCUUCGGCGGGCCCGCCUUAACUGGCCGCCGGGGGGCUUACGCCCCCGGGCCCGCGCCCGCCGAAGACACCCUCGAACUCUGUCUGAAGAUUGUAGUCUGAGUGAAAAUAUAAAUUAUUUAAAACUUUCAACAACGGAUCUCUUGGUUCCGGCAUCGAUGAAGAACGCAGCGAAAUGCGAUACGUAAUGUGAAUUGCAAAUUCAGUGAAUCAUCGAGUCUUUGAACGCACAUUGCGCCCCCUGGUAUUCCGGGGGGCAUGCCUGUCCGAGCGUCAUUGCUGCCCUCAAGCACGGCUUGUGUGUUGGGCCCCGUCCUCCGAUCCCGGGGGACGGGCCCGAAAGGCAGCGGCGGCACCGCGUCCGGUCCUCGAGCGUAUGGGGCUUUGUCACCCGCUCUGUAGGCCCGGCCGGCGCUUGCCGAUCAACCCAAAUUUUUAUCCAGGUUGACCUCGGAUCAGGUAGGGAUACCCGCUGAACUUAAGCAUAUCG